GCUCAGGUGGCGGAAUUGGUAGACGCGCCAGGUUAAGGACCUGGUGGGGUAACCCGUGGGGGUUCGAGUCCCCCCCUGAGCACCA
RNAcentral lists this transfer RNA (85 nucleotides) under Opitutia bacterium. RNAcentral describes it as "tRNA-Leu". It matches the Rfam family "tRNA". Rfam says of the family: Transfer RNA (tRNA) molecules are approximately 80 nucleotides in length. Their secondary structure includes four short double-helical elements and three loops (D, anti-codon, and T loops). Lineage: Bacteria; Pseudomonadati; Verrucomicrobiota; Opitutia. RNAcentral also lists the same sequence under 3 other names. The record is from RNAcentral.